This 220-nucleotide ribosomal RNA is filed under the name uncultured bacterium. RNAcentral's name for it is "partial 16S ribosomal RNA". It matches the Rfam family "Bacterial small subunit ribosomal RNA", at positions 524 to 742 of the family's 1533-position model. The record is from RNAcentral.
UACGUAGGGUGCGAGCGUUGUCCGGAAUUAUUGGGCGUAAAGAGCUCGUAGGCGGUCUGUCGCGUCUGCUGUGAAAACUCAGGGCUUAACCCUGAGCUUGCAGUGGGUACGGGCAGACUAGAGUGCGGUAGGGGAGACUGGAAUUCCUGGUGUAGCGGUGAAAUGCGCAGAUAUCAGGAGGAACACCGAUGGCGAAGGCAGGUCUCUGGGCAUUAAACUG